RNAcentral lists this ribosomal RNA (116 nucleotides) under Verrucomicrobia bacterium GWF2_62_7. Lineage: Bacteria; Pseudomonadati; Verrucomicrobiota. The record is from RNAcentral. RNAcentral also lists the same sequence under 2 other names.
CCCGGUGACCAUAGAGCAGCGGUCCCACCCGUUCUCAUUCCGAACACGGCCGUGAAACGCUGUCUCGCCGAUGGUAGUGCCUGUAUAGCUUGCGCGAGAGUAGGUUGUUGCCGGGU